RNAcentral lists this ribosomal RNA (253 nucleotides) under uncultured bacterium. RNAcentral describes it as "partial 16S ribosomal RNA". It matches the Rfam family "Bacterial small subunit ribosomal RNA", at positions 524 to 776 of the family's 1533-position model. The record is from RNAcentral.
UACGAGGGGGGCGAGCGUUGUUCGGAAUUAUUGGGCGUAAAGGGUGCGUAGGCGGUUUGGUAAGUCUGAUGUGAAAUCUAUGGGCUCAACUCAUAGUCUGCAUUAGAAACUGCCGGGCUUGAGUAUGGGAGAGGUGAGUGGAAUUCCUGGUGUAGCGGUGAAGUGCGUAGAUAUCAGGAGGAACACCUGUGGCGAAAGCGGCUCACUGGACCAUAACUGACGCUGAUGCACGAAAGCUAGGGGAGCAAACAGG